GACGAACGCUGGCGGCGUGCCUAAUACAUGCAAGUAGAACGCUGAAGAGAGGAGCUUGCUCUUCUUGGAUGAGUUGCGAACGGGUGAGUAACGCGUAGGUAACCUGCCUUGUAGCGGGGGAUAACUAUUGGAAACGAUAGCUAAUACCGCAUAACAAUGGGUGACACAUGUCAUUUAUUUGAAAGGGGCAAUUGCUCCACUACAAGAUGGACCUGCGUUGUAUUAGCUAGUAGGUGAGGUAAUGGCUCACCUAGGCGACGAUACAUAGCCGACCUGAGAGGGUGAUCGGCCACACUGGGAAUGAGACACGGCCCAGACUCCUACGGGAGGCAGCAGUAGGGAAUCUUCGGCAAUGGGGGCAACCCUGACCGAGCAACGCCGCGUGAGUGAAGAAGGUUUUCGGAUCGUAAAGCUCUGUUGUAAGUCAAGAACGGGUGUGAGAGUGGAAAGUUCACACUGUGACGGUAGCUUACCAGAAAGGGACGGCUAACUACGUG
RNAcentral lists this ribosomal RNA (497 nucleotides) under uncultured bacterium. RNAcentral's name for it is "partial 16S ribosomal RNA". It matches the Rfam family "Bacterial small subunit ribosomal RNA", at positions 28 to 507 of the family's 1533-position model. The record is from RNAcentral.